AGUCUUAUAUUCAAUUAUGAUUUUAAAUUGCAAAUUUAAAGGUGAAUAUUAUAUUCUAAGGCUU
This 64-nucleotide transfer RNA is filed under the name Osmylus sp. 'Plethosmylus' HX-2020. Its description in RNAcentral is "tRNA-Cys". Lineage: Eukaryota; Metazoa; Arthropoda; Insecta; Neuroptera; Osmylidae. The record is from RNAcentral.